Long non-coding RNA from Chiloscyllium plagiosum (whitespotted bambooshark), 1744 nucleotides. RefSeq lists it as uncharacterized. Lineage: Eukaryota; Metazoa; Chordata; Chondrichthyes; Orectolobiformes; Hemiscylliidae. The record is from RefSeq and is a predicted model, not a curated record.
UAAAGGAAAGUAGUGUGUAAAUGUAACAUGUUUGUUUAGGCUGUUGUCUAAUGGAUUAACUAUGAGAUCAAAAGCUUGGGAGAGACAUAUGAUUAUGGAUAUGAAAACGCUAACAUGAGCUAAGUUGAAACUCUGUCCACCCUGAUAUAUGACACAGCCACUGGGGAGGGAACUGAACACUUGGAGCUGUUUGGGUUGGACUGUAUAUAAAGUUAAUUGCGAACUUGUGAUGAGUCACAUGUCUUACCUACAUCUCAUUAGUAAUGGCUAAAAUACGUAAGCAUUAAGGUAACCCAAAUAUAGAUCAAGAUUUAGUUCAGCCUUCACCAAAGUCUACUAGAAUAUCAUUGGAAAAAUCUUUGGAACAGUAUUCUAACUUAACCACAAUAGUAAUACUCAGACAUAUACUAAUAUAACAGUUUACCCAGUAUGGGUGUUCUAUUAGUCUCUGUGUUGACACUAACAGUUUUAGCUUUUGCUUGCAGGCCUAUGAUAAUAAAGUGAGGGCAAAACCAUUGGAAGCCUCACAGCCCCACAUUUCCUGACAGAGGAGAAGGACUAAGAGUGUGAUGGUCAGGCACCAUCCCAGGAGCAGGAGAAUUGACAUUUUGAGCAUUAGCUCUUCACCAGGAAUGAGAAGAUGGGCUUGUGAACAAUUACUGAUGGCUAAGUAGGACUGUCAUUGCAGAUUCUGGAGACAGAGGAGAGAUGGCUGAGGAAGGGAAGUUUGCCUAGCCUUCUCCAACAGAGGCCUGCAGAUCCUGGUCAAGGGUGCAACAAGCAGGUGUACUCUCUUGGAAGACUGUCAAAGGUAUCCGCACCACCAGACAUGCCAACCUAAUAAAAAACUGCACUCAGUUUAAUGCUAACUCAAGGCUGUGGAGAACUUGGCUGCAGUGCCAGAAGAGGGUCAAGGUAUUCCCAUCUUUACAAGGACUCCCAGGAUGUAGGAUUGAAAAUGCCUUGGAAACAGAGAAAGAGAGAGAAAGAGACACAUAUUAGAGUUGUUGUCAUCUGUGGGGGGAUAAGGGUGUCCUGCAAUUGGCUAUCAGGCAGGAUGCUGUGAAACACUGACCACUGAUUACUGAUGGAACUUGCAACAACUUAAAAAUGCUGCAAGAUUAGCAGGAGAAGAAAUCAGAGAGUGGACCUUCCUAUUUCAAGUUUGUUUAGAACUUCAGAGGAUGAGGAUUUUCAACAGUCGUGGAACAUUAUGAUUCAACAAAAUGAACCCAUUGAAAUCUGAGUGUGAAUGCAGACUGUUUCCUAUAAAGACUGUAGCUCUGUGCAGAGCAUGAUGUAAUGCAUAUAUGCAUUAUGGGAUUGUUAUUUGAGAUUAAGACAUUAAUAAUCUAUUCUGUACUUUACAGCAUGAGUCAUCCACUGCUUAUCCACAUGUUAACGUUUAUUUCAGCUUGUUUUGUACAGUUAAAGGUUUAAAACUUAAAAUCUUGUCAUAUGAUCAUUAAAUUACUGAGAGUUCAAUGGUUACUGGGAAUUAAAAUCUCUUGCUUAAAGUUAGCAGGUUUGGCAGGGCUGGAAGAUUGCCCUUGCUUUUAGUGUCACUAUAAACACUUUUGUAUAAUCCAUAGAAACGCUAGAAUAUGGCUACUGGUCAGUCAGCACAGCAAGUCCACACGAAUCGCCGAAGAACAUCACACCCAGACUUACCUCCCCCUACCCUACAAACCUGCAUUUCCCAAGGUUAACCCACACAUCCCUUGACAUUAUAGGCAAUUUGGUG